GAUGAACGCUGGCGGCGUGCCUAAUACAUGCAAGUCGAGCGAACAGACGAGGAGCUUGCUCCUCUGACGUUAGCGGCGGACGGGUGAGUAACAAGUGGAUAACCUACCUAUAAGACUGGGAUAACUUCGGGAAACCGGAGCUAAUACCGGAUAAUAUAUUGAACCGCAUGGAUCAAUAGUGAAAGACGGAUUUGCUGUCACUUAUAGAUGGAUCCGCGCCGCAUUAGCUAGUUGGUAAGGUAACGGCUUACCAAGGCGACGAUGCGUAGCCGACCUGAGAGGGUGAUCGGCCACACUGGAACUGAGACACGGUCCAGACUCCUACGGGAGGCAGCAGUAGGGAAUCUUCCGCAAUGGGCGAAAGCCUGACGGAGCAACGCCGCGUGAGUGAUGAAGGUCUUCGGAUCGUAAAACUCUUUUAUUAGGGAAGAACAAAUGUGUAAGUAACUAUGCACGUCUUGACGGUACCUAAUCAGAAAGCCACGGCUAACUACGUG
Molecule: ribosomal RNA, 497 nt
Filed under: uncultured bacterium
Lineage: Bacteria
Description: partial 16S ribosomal RNA
Rfam family: Bacterial small subunit ribosomal RNA
Source: RNAcentral